RNAcentral lists this ribosomal RNA (114 nucleotides) under uncultured bacterium. RNAcentral's name for it is "partial 16S ribosomal RNA". It matches the Rfam family "Bacterial small subunit ribosomal RNA", at positions 1358 to 1482 of the family's 1533-position model. The record is from RNAcentral.
UACGGUGAAUACCGUCCCGACUUGUACACACCGCCCGUCAAGCCAUGGAAGCUGGGUGUACCUAAAGUCGAUAACCGUAAGGAGUCGCCUAGGGUAAAACUAGUAACUGGGGCU